This 26-nucleotide non-coding RNA is filed under the name Homo sapiens (human). The record is from RNAcentral. Lineage: Eukaryota; Metazoa; Chordata; Mammalia; Primates; Hominidae.
UCUCAAUGGCCGUGUUCGCUUGAACC